GAUGAACGCUGGCGGCGUGCCUAAUACAUGCAAGUCGAGCGAACAGACGAGGAGCUUGCUCCUCUGACGUUAGCGGCGGACGGGUGAGUAACACGUGGAUAACCUACCUAUAAGACUGGGAUAACUUCGUGAAACCGGAGCUAAUACCGGAUAAUAUAUUGAACCGCAUGGUUCAAUAGUGAAAGACGGUUUUGCUGUCACUUAUAGAUGGAUCCUCGCCGCAUUAGCUAGUUGGUAAGGUAACGGCUUACCAAGGCAACGAUGCGUAGCCGACCUGAGAGGGUGAUCGGCCACACUGGAACUGAGACACGGUCCAGACUCCUACGGGAGGCAGCAGUAGGGAAUCUUCCGCAAUGGGCGAAAGCCUGACGGAGCAACGCCGCGUGAGUGAUGAAGGUCUUCGGAUCGUAAAACUCUGUUAUUAGGGAAGAACAAAUGUGUAAGUAACUAUGCACGUCUUGACGGUACCUAAUCAGAAAGCCACGGCUAACUACGUG
Molecule: ribosomal RNA, 497 nt
Filed under: uncultured bacterium
Lineage: Bacteria
Description: partial 16S ribosomal RNA
Rfam family: Bacterial small subunit ribosomal RNA
Source: RNAcentral